RNAcentral lists this transfer RNA (58 nucleotides) under Bacillus velezensis. RNAcentral describes it as "tRNA-Arg (TCT) (tRNA-Arg-TCT-3-1)". It matches the Rfam family "tRNA", at positions 14 to 68 of the family's 71-position model. Rfam says of the family: Transfer RNA (tRNA) molecules are approximately 80 nucleotides in length. Their secondary structure includes four short double-helical elements and three loops (D, anti-codon, and T loops). The record is from RNAcentral. RNAcentral also lists the same sequence under 2 other names. Lineage: Bacteria; Bacillati; Bacillota; Bacilli; Caryophanales; Bacillaceae.
GGCCGGAUAGAGCAACGGCCUUCUAAGCCGUCGGUCGGGAGUUCGAAUCUCUCCUGGG